AACACACUGUGCUUGCACACCGUGUUUUCUUGAGUCGCGAACGGGUGAGUAACGCGUAGGUAACCUGCCUAUUAGCGGGGGAUAACUAUUGGAAACGAUAGCUAAUACCGCAUAAUAUUAAUUAUUGCAUGAUAAUUGAUUGAAAGAUGCAAGCGCAUCACUAGUAGAUGGACCUGCGUUGUAUUAGCUAGUUGGUAAGGUAAGAGCUUACCAAGGCGACGAUACAUAGCCGACCUGAGAGGGUGAUCGGCCACACUGGGACUGAGACACGGCCCAGACUCCUACGGGAGGCAGCAGUAGGGAAUCUUCGGCAAUGGACGAAAGUCUGACCGAGCAACGCCGCGUGAGUGAAGAAGGUUUUCGGAUCGUAAAGCUCUGUUGUAAGUCAAGAACGUGUGUGAGAG
This 404-nucleotide ribosomal RNA is filed under the name Streptococcus mutans. RNAcentral's name for it is "bacterial SSU rRNA". It matches the Rfam family "Bacterial small subunit ribosomal RNA", at positions 69 to 461 of the family's 1533-position model. Lineage: Bacteria; Bacillati; Bacillota; Bacilli; Lactobacillales; Streptococcaceae. The record is from RNAcentral.